UAACAUUUCAGUGAGGCGCGCGCGCGCGCGCGUGUGUGUGUGUGUUCAUAGGUGUGUCUUGGGGAAGGAGUUAAUUCAUCAUCCUCAUCGGGUUGUGAGAGUCUUUUAGCCACCGAGUCACGGGGAGACUCCGCCGAUGGAUGUGUCAACUUUCUCCUCUUUUAUUUCACCCACUGGCACAACAUGAAGACACAUAUCGGUAUUGCUCGUGUUAAAGGACAUAAUCCUAUGGCGUAGCAUUUUUACUGCUCUUUACAAAAGCUGGCUUUUUCCCCCCUUUUAUUUUACAUUUAUAUUCUAAUCCACAUUUUAAUGAUACAGUGUUGUGCUGCUAGCGUAUCCAGCUAGCUAGGCAGCUAUUCAGCUAGCUAAUCAUUUGCCGGUCAAAUUCCCAGCGACUUCAGUGAUGAUUCAGAGGAUCUUCGGCUAAUGAAGCAUCUCGAAGCUUUCUGUUUCCCGAAAAUUUGGACUUUGUGGACUACGAUACGAAAAUGAAGAAGCAGUUUAAUCGGAUGAAACAACUCGCCAACCAGACAGUUGGCAGAGCUGAAAAAACCGAAGUCCUCAGCGAUGACCUGUUACAGAUCGAACGUCGCAUGGAGCUGGUGCGGGCUGUUUCUCACAACACACACAAGAGACUGGUUACAUGUCUGCAGGGGCAGAAAAAGCUCCCACUGACAGCAUUGUCACAAGCCAUGCAAGAUGGCGGGAGCCAGCUAGGAGAGGAGUCUCUUAUUGGGAAAAUGAUGGAGGUGUGUGGCGAGGCGGAGAACAGACUGGCGUCUGAGCUGAUGCAGCAUGAGAUUCAGAUUGAGAAGGACAUUUUAGACCCACUAAAUCAGUUAGCUGAGGUGGACAUCCCCAACAUACUCAAGCAGAGAAGACAACUUGCCAAGCUGGUGCUAGACUAUGAUUCUGCUCGAACAAGAUGGUUGCAGGCAACCAAGUCUAUAAUCUCGGGAACAAACACACAAGCGCUGUCCGCCAAGGCAGACUCGCUUAAAGAAGAGAUGGAUGAAGCAAUGAACAAAAUGGAGCUCUGCAAGGAUCAACUCUCUGCCGACCUGUAUAAUUUCUUUUCAAAAGAGGGGGACUAUGCACGCUACUAUGUAACGUUAUUAGAGGCUCAGGCGGAUUACCACCGAAAAUCUCUCUCUGUGCUGGAAAGUGUCCUGCCAACCAUUCAGGCACAGCAAGACUCAUGGACAGAGAAGCCAGCAUUUGGAACAGGCUUGGAUGAGCACCUGAAGCGGAGUAGCAGAGAGAUAGCGCUACCCAUAGAGGCCUGUGUGAUGAUGCUGUUGGAGACGGGCAUGAAGGAAGAGGGUCUUUUCCGAAUAACUGCAGGAGCCUCUAAACUGAAGAAGCUUAAGGCAGCGCUGGACUGCUCCACCUCUCAGCUAGAGGAGUUCUACUCUGACCCACAUGCAGUUGCUGGGGCUUUGAAGUCCUACCUGAGGGAACUGCCAGAGCCUCUUAUGACUUAUGAAUUCUAUGAUGAGUGGAUUCAGGCAUCCAAUAUAUCUGACCCAGACAAACGGUUACAAGCUUUGUGGGUGACCUGUGAUCAAUUACCAAAGAACAACAAAGCCAACUUUAGGUAUCUGGUGAAGUUCCUUGCUAAGCUUGCUCAAGAAAGUGAAAUAAACAAGAUGACCCCCAGCAACAUUGCAAUUGUCUUGGGACCGAAUCUGUUAUGGGCAAAAACAGAGGGGAGCCUAGCAGAAAUGGCAGCUGCUACCUCUGUCCAUGUCGUUACUAUUAUUGAGCCCAUCAUUCAACAUGCAGACUGGUUUUUCCCUGAAGAUGUGGAGUUCAAUGUAUCCGGCAUGUUUUCAAUGCCCACCCCCAUGACAAACCAUGUCAACCAUCUGACCCUACCCGACUAUGACUCGGGCACAAUAGAGAGGAAGAGACCUAAUAGUAUGGUGGGACCUGAUGGUGACGUGGCCAAACGAGACAGCUCUGCUAACAAAUUAAUGGAGCACAAUCCCCGUAGAGGCAGUACACUAACUAGAAAGCAGCACGCUUCCCCUGCCUUCCAGCCCCCUCUGCCCCCGGUGGAGGCUGUCAGUAUUGCAGGAGGCCAGCCUGUAGCUGAGCUCCUGCUACAGCAGCCUGCACCAGAGGGCCUGGGUAUGGAGGCCUGCCAGCCUAGCUUGGCACUGGGGAUGGCAGCCCUAGCAGCAGCACAGCAGCUUCUAGCACAACAAACGGAGGAGCUCAGUUCAAAGUCGAGUGACGCAGCAUCCACACCUCAGAGAAAUGGUUGUGGAGGUUCACAUCUGAGUGUGGCAUCUCCAGCAACGGGAUCAUCAGGACACAGCCCUCUGUUGGCACGCAGAGUUAUAAAAAAGCCGGCUCCUGCUCCUCCUAAACCAACCAAUCCACCUUCAGGUCAGCCGGGCAGCCAGUCAGCUCCACAGUCUUCAUGUGGGACUCCUCAAUUCCUCUCUCCAUCUCCAAGACCUCUCUCCACUAACUCUCCAAGCAGUCUUAGCCCCACUCAGUUAGUAAUUCAGUCUAGCACGUUACCUCGGCGCUAUUCAGGCAACCAGCCUCCCCUCCAGGCCCCCAACCAUCCACCCCCAGAGCCCCCCAGCCAGGUCAGUGUUCCUCCACCUCAGCCCACAGCAGUCGGAGAUCCAGGAGAGGAGCCGUCUCCACCCAGUACUCCCAGUCCCCCUAAAACUCCUCCACUUUCCAUGGUCCCUCCUGAAAAUGCAAGCACAAAUGUUUCCCCAUUUCCGUCUGGCUCCCUUCCUCGGUCUCGGCCAGUGCCUAAACCACGCAACAGACCCACUGUUCCGCCUCCACCACAGCCUCAGUGUGUGGCCAGCGACACCAGUGACACGAAUGACAUCUGGAGUGCUGCCUACAAAAUGAUGGAACCAGGGAUGUCAUUCAAAGGGCUAAACCGAGUCCUUGUUCCUGACAUUGGCCCAGAACAGCAGCCUGUUGCUCAGCUAAAGGAUUCAGACUUGGACUCAGAGAGCACCGUCCUGUGAAGGUGAGGAUUUGGCUGCCAUAAACCUGUUACCUGUUCCUCACAUCCCAAGGACUCUCUUAAAUGCUGCUGCUCCUUCCCUUUCACCAAGUCUUCGUCAGCUUGGUUGCAUUUCACCAAAGAUUUGGACCUUCAGUAGCACCCACAGGAAUAGCGGCAUGGACAUAUUGCAUGGCACCAAACAGGUUUAAAGCUAUCACACUAAAUUUCAUUUUAUUGUAAGAAUACUGGGAAAUAGGUUGAGGUACUAGUUGGUGUAUCUUAAGUGGCCUUAGUUAAAAAAAAGAAAAAAGCAAGAGAGAACAAAGCAUAUUAAGCUUGGGAUGAUAUUAAGCUGAAACCAUAUAUUGUGGCUUUAGAGUGUACCUUGUGACUGCAGGUUUCCAGUCAGCUAAUAUACUCGACUCUUAAUUUUAUGUAUGGAAACUGUCCUACAUCUGUUUCUAUCAACACAUUCCCUAAGGCUUAUGUAUGUCUCAGUUGUUCUGUUUUUCAUUUGAAAGUCUUAGUCCUCUUGUGUUUAGCUGAAUUUCCUGCAGUUUAUUAUCAAUAUAGCCUAUUACCUACAGUAUAAAAAUGUACACGCGUCACAAGGUUAGUAUUCUUCAGCCGUUAAUGUUUUCCUAAACCUAGGGCAUUAAUGUGAUCAUGUGUUAAUUUAACUAUUUCCUAAAUGACAGACGGAGAACAAACUGACAAAUGAGACAACCCUGACAGUCUGUGACCUUGCUGGACGAAAACACUGUGUGGUAUACUGAAUAUUUUACUGUGUUAAAAAAACAAAACAAACCACAGGAUCUUGAAUGAUGGCAAGUGACAAAAUCAUAUACACUAAGGAUGACCUUUAUAGUAUGUUUGUUCACAGGCCUUGCCUUUACCUUGCUGCCUUACCCAUUAUAACAUUUGGAAAAUGAACUAAAGCUAUAUAUGUUGAUGGUGUACAAAGAAGAAACUUCUGAAAUGAGAAAUUUAGUGGGGGGGGGGGGGGGGAGACAAAAUGCUUGCUAUUACUGCUUUACCAUUAAUUAAUAAAGCACAAUACCAACUGCUUUUAUGGCUUUUUAAUUAUAUGCGUCAGUGACAUCUUCCUUUGUAAAUAUCCCUUGUUGCAUUCUAAGGGUCUUUUGUUCUUUACCACUCUGACUUCCAGUAGAGUCGAUGAUUGGUUGACACACAGUUUCUAAUAACACAAACAUGACAAACCUGAAUACUUUAAAUGACAUAACAUUUACCUGGGUCCAUGAAUAUGUUGACUGGUUUUGUGUAGCUAUUAAGGAAGGUAGUGGGAGAAUGUAGCACUUGGCUCUUGCAGAGGUGAAUAAUGGUUUCCUCUUCCAGCACAAGAGCCUGUUCCUUUGUGUUUUGCCCUUCACAAAUAACCUGCAGAGUGACAUUGGAAAUAUUACACAGGCAGCUCAAUGUUUUCCUCCUCUCCACUACAAUAAUGAUGUAUACACAGUAAUAUGUACUCCGAGACUGACUGGCUGAGGGUUCUUUUAAUGUUUAAAAGAGUUUCUAAACCUGUAGUAAUAGGACACAUUUCAUUUGCAAUUGUCUUUAGCCCUGUCUGGAGCAGGAAAGCAGAGCUUCUCAGGUCUGGGUGGGGUUAUUUGGGGGAAAGGCAUGUCCGUGUUUUCACUACAGUUCGCCUCUCAGGUAGCAGAAGACUUGCAAACCUUUAAACUCCUGAAGUGAUGUAAUGGAAUUGAGCAAAAGAGCAAACGCACAAGAAACAACACUGACGAAGUAAGUCAUGUUAGGCUGUAUGUCAAAUCACGGUAUGUAUAAGAAAAACAUGAAUCCUGUCAGCACUAUAUUAGUUUUUAAAAUCUCAGAAGGAAUGUCAAAAAUGUCCAGUGCUUGAUGUGCAGGUAUCCUGAAUAUAAAAAGUGCAAAAAUGUAAUGAGACAAAGAUGAUAACAUAAUAGAACCAGUGUAUGUAAAGGGAAAUAUUUCUCCUAAGCCAGGAAGCUAGUGUCAGGGUUUACAUGACAGAAUCUGCAGGCUAGUUGCUAAGCAGCAGAAACCCGAGCCUCAAAAAGACACACAGAAAAGGGUCUGUAGACUCAUGAGCAAAGGAAAAGUAACAGGUGCUAGGACACAUUUUUAUGCAUUCAUGAAAUGUUCUGGGGCUCAGUGUACAAAUGUGAUUCAUACGUUUCUCUUUUUUCCUACCCUUAUUUACCAAAGUAGGUAUGUGAAAAUGUAACAGCAUUUGGUGCAGUAUCUCUUUAAGGCACUGAAUAUGCAAAGCUGUUACACUUCUGUAUGUGGCUGUGGCUGCAAACAGAUGUUUAUGUACCUUUAGCAGAUAUGUGCAGUAUUUAUAAAUCACUGCGAGGCUGUGUGGGACGAGCAGCUCAUCUGGCUGUGUGUGUGCAGCUACA
Molecule: RNA transcript, 5394 nt
Organism: Ictalurus furcatus (blue catfish)
Lineage: Eukaryota; Metazoa; Chordata; Actinopteri; Siluriformes; Ictaluridae
Gene: arhgap17a
Gene name: Rho GTPase activating protein 17a
Exons: 21
Source: RefSeq, a predicted model, not a curated record